GGCUGAACACCGUUGACCCCGGCAGUACAAGAGCCACUGCCAGAAUUUCCUGGUUUGCAGUGCCAUUCAUGUUCGUUCAAGCAACAGCGACAAGCAAAGGGGAUUUUCCUGAGCAGCUUGAGUAACAAAGAAAUGAGGCAAAUUAUUGAGAAACUGAUGGGCAUUCACUGAAGAGCAACAAAUAUGAUUUCUGCAGUUGUAAUUAGCAACUGACACAUUCUGAAACCCGUGGUGGCCCAGAAGGGCACAUGUGGGCACAAGGCUGUGCCAACGUGGAGCAACAAUUGCAACCGAAAGGAAUGGGCACAGUGUGGUCAGAUGGAAACUGGGGCAGGCAGAGCAGGGCUGGUGUUAACUGCGAUUGCUACAAGGAGCACAGCUGUGACCAUCUUAACGCCUCUCAGCCAGAGGAUGACACAGAAGAAGGGCACAAAAAUGACCAAUGGGGCUACACAAAGAAGCCAGAAGCAGAGAAUUCCAUAACUCAGGAUCUUUGAUUCAGAUAAUUUUCUUUUCAUCACCUUAAGAGAGCAAAUAAAUCCCCCAAACUACUUUUUCUACUGUUCAAGCUGCUAGAGGAUAUUCUUGACUGGAAGUUGUCCAUGUUGUGA
Molecule: long non-coding RNA, 611 nt
Organism: Lemur catta (Ring-tailed lemur)
Lineage: Eukaryota; Metazoa; Chordata; Mammalia; Primates; Lemuridae
Exons: 4
Source: RefSeq, a predicted model, not a curated record